This 271-nucleotide ribosomal RNA is filed under the name uncultured archaeon. Its description in RNAcentral is "partial 16S ribosomal RNA". It matches the Rfam family "Archaeal small subunit ribosomal RNA", at positions 477 to 747 of the family's 1478-position model. The record is from RNAcentral.
CAGCGCCACGAGUGGUAACCGCGAUUAUUGGGCCUAAAGCGUCCGUAGCAGGUUUAGCAAAUCUUUUGUGAAAUUGUGCGGCUUAACCGUACAACGUGCAAGAGACACUACUAAACUCGAGACCGGGAGGAGUCAGAAGUAUUCCAGGGGGAGCGGUAAAAUGUUAUAAUCCCUGGAGGACUACCUAUGGCGAAGGCAUCUGACUAGAACGGAUCUGACUGUGAGGGACGAAAGCCAGGGGAGCGAACCGGAUUAGAUACCCGUGUAGUCC